UGCUAAAUUAGUUAUUGAAAAAUAUAUGAAAUUUUAAGUAAGAUAAAUGGCUUAAUUAAUAGAUAUUAAGGUUCUAAUUUGUAUUAUGAUUAAAUUGAAUUAAUUAGAUUUUGAUUAAGUUUUGGUUUUGGAUUAGGAUUAGAUUAGGAUUUUGGAUUUGAUUAAGAUUUUUUUAAUAUUUAAGAUUUGAAUAAGGAUUUUCUUAGGAUUUAAGAUUUAGGAUUUGAUUAAGAUUUGAUUAGGAUUUAGGAUUUUAUUUAAGAUUUGCUUAGGAUUUAGGAUUUAGAAUUUGCCUAGGAUUUAAGAUUUAUGAUUUAUAUAGGAUUUAGGAUUUAGGAUUUAGAGUUUGGUCUAGGAUUUGAUUGAAUUCUAUUAGAAUUUCAAUUAGAAUUAAAUAAGGGCUUCAU
Molecule: long non-coding RNA, 407 nt
Filed under: Physcomitrium patens
Lineage: Eukaryota; Viridiplantae; Streptophyta; Bryopsida; Funariales; Funariaceae
Description: long non-coding RNA (PPAT_LNC014207)
Source: RNAcentral